RNAcentral lists this ribosomal RNA (429 nucleotides) under Bacteroidota bacterium. Its description in RNAcentral is "Bacteroidetes bacterium partial 16S ribosomal RNA". It matches the Rfam family "Bacterial small subunit ribosomal RNA", at positions 355 to 776 of the family's 1533-position model. The record is from RNAcentral. Lineage: Bacteria; Pseudomonadati; Bacteroidota.
UAGGGAAUCUUCGGCAAUGGGGGGAACCCUGACCGAGCAACGCCGCGUGAGUGAAGAAGGUUUUCGGAUCGUAAAGCUCUGUUGUUAAGGAAGAACGAGUGUGAGAAUGGAAAGUUCAUACUGUGACGGUACUUAACCAGAAAGGGACGGCUAACUACGUGCCAGCAGCCGCGGUAAUACGUAGGUCCCGAGCGUUGUCCGGAUUUAUUGGGCGUAAAGCGAGCGCAGGCGGUUAGAUAAGUCUGAAGUUAAAGGCAGUGGCUCAACCAUUGUAGGCUUUGGAAACUGUUUAACUUGAGUGCAGAAGGGGAGAGUGGAAUUCCAUGUGUAGCGGUGAAAUGCGUAGAUAUAUGGAGGAACACCGGUGGCGAAAGCGGUUCUCUGGUCUGUAACUGACGCUGAGGCUCGAAAGCGUGGGGAGCGAACAGG